GACGGGUGAGUAAUGCCUAGGGAACUGCCCAGUCGAGGGGGAUAACAGUUGGAAACGACUGCUAAUACCGCAUACGCCCUACGGGGGAAAAGAGGGGACCUUCGGGCCUUCUGCGAUUGGAUGUACCUAGGUGGGAUUAGCUAGUAGGUGAGGUAAUGGCUCACCUAGGCGACGAUCCCUAGCUGUUCUGAGAGGAUGAUCAGCCACACUGGGACUGAGACACGGCCCAGACUCCUACGGGAGGCAGCAGUGGGGAAUAUUGCACAAUGGGCGCAAGCCUGAUGCAGCCAUGCCGCGUGUGUGAAGAAGGCCUUCGGGUUGUAAAGCACUUUCAGCGAGGAGGAAAGGUUAAGUGUUAAUAGCACUUAGCUGUGACGUUACUCGCAGAAGAAGCACCGGCUAACUUCGUGCCAGCAGCCGCGGUAAUACGAGGGGUGCAAGCGUUAAUCGGAAUUACUGGGCGUAAAGCGU
This 471-nucleotide ribosomal RNA is filed under the name Shewanella marisflavi. Its description in RNAcentral is "bacterial SSU rRNA". It matches the Rfam family "Bacterial small subunit ribosomal RNA", at positions 100 to 568 of the family's 1533-position model. The record is from RNAcentral. Lineage: Bacteria; Pseudomonadati; Pseudomonadota; Gammaproteobacteria; Alteromonadales; Shewanellaceae.